RNAcentral lists this ribosomal RNA (497 nucleotides) under uncultured bacterium. RNAcentral describes it as "partial 16S ribosomal RNA". It matches the Rfam family "Bacterial small subunit ribosomal RNA", at positions 28 to 507 of the family's 1533-position model. The record is from RNAcentral.
GACGAACGCUGGCGGCGUGCCUAAUACAUGCAAGUAGAACGCUGAAGAGAGGAGCUUGCUCUUCUUGGAUGAGUUGCGAACGGGUGAGUAACGCGUAGGUAACCUGCCUUGUAGCGGGGGAUAACUAUUGGAAACGAUAGCUAAUACCGCAUAACAAUGGAUGACACAUGUCAUUUAUUUGAAAGGGGCAAUUGCUCCACUACAAGAUGGACCUGCGUUGUAUUAGCUAGUAGGUGAGGUAAUGGCUCACCUAGGCGACGAUACAUAGCCGACCUGAGAGGGGGAUCGGCCACACUGGGACUGAGACACGGCCCAGACUCCUACGGGAGGCAGCAGUAGGGAAUCUUCGGCAAUGGGGGCAACCCUGACCGAGCAACGCCGCGUGAGUGAAGAAGGUUUUCGGAUCGUAAAGCUCGGUUGUAAGUCAAGAACGGGUGUGAGAGUGGAAAGUUCACACUGUGACGGUAGCUUACCAGAAAGGGACGGCUAACUACGUG